AAACAUGGCUCCUUGAUUUCCAGUAAUAAGGAGUCGGACCUGCCCAGUGAAUAUUUCAACGGCCGCGGUACUCUGACCGUGCAAAGGUAGCAUAAUCAUUUGCCUUAUAAUUGAAGGCUAGUAUGAAUGGUUUGACAAGAAUAUAGCUGUCUCUUUAUGAUUACCUAGAAUUUUAUUUUUAGGUGAAGAAGCCUAAAUUUAAUUAAAAGACAAGAAGACCCUAUCGAGCUUGAAAGAAUUUAAUGAAAUUUAAAAUUAAUAAUGUUAAAAAAUUAUUUGUUAAAAAUUUUGGUUGGGGCGACUGAGGAACAUAAAAAGCUUCCUUUAUUAAUAGAUUUCAUGCUUGACUUGAUCCAAAAUAUUUUGAUUAAAGAAAUUAGUUACCGUAGGGAUAACAGCAUAAUCUUUUUUAAGAGCUCAUAUCGAAAAAAAGGUUUGUGACCUCGAUGUUGGACCAGAAUAUCCUAAAGGUGCAGAAGCCUUUGAGGGUUGGUCUGUUCGACCAUUAAAAUUCUACGUGA
Molecule: ribosomal RNA, 521 nt
Filed under: Reticunassa cf. neoproducta LAG-2016
Lineage: Eukaryota; Metazoa; Mollusca; Gastropoda; Neogastropoda; Nassariidae
Description: partial 16S ribosomal RNA
Rfam family: Bacterial large subunit ribosomal RNA
Source: RNAcentral